Molecule: ribosomal RNA, 497 nt
Filed under: uncultured bacterium
Lineage: Bacteria
Description: partial 16S ribosomal RNA
Rfam family: Bacterial small subunit ribosomal RNA
Source: RNAcentral
GAUGAACGCUGGCGGCGUGCCUAAUACAUGCAAGUCGAGCGAACGGACGAGAAGCUUGCUUUUCUGAUGUUAGCGGCGGACGGGUGAGUAACACGUGGAUAACCUACCUAUAAGACUGGGUUAACUUCGGGAAACCGGAGCUAAUACCGGAUAAUAUUUUGAACCGCAUGGUUCAAAAGUGAAAGACGGUCUUGCUGUCACUUAUAGAUGGAUCCGCGCUGCAUUAGCUAGUUGGUAAGGUAACGGCUUACCAAGGCAACGAUGCAUAGCCGACCUGAGAGGGUGAUCGGCCACACUGGAACUGAGACACGGUCCAGACUCCUACGGGAGGCAGCAGUAGGGAAUCUUCCGCAAUGGGCGAAAGCCUGACGGAGCAACGCCGCGUGAGUGAUGAAGGUCUUCGGAUCGUAAAACUCUGUUAUUAGGGAAGAACAUAUGUGUAAGUAACUGUGCACAUCUUGACGGUACCUAAUCAGAAAGCCACGGCUAACUACGUG